AUGCACAGGUUGCCCGUCAUCCUCGAAACUGAAGACAUGGGAUGGAACCUUGGGAAGAAGCUCGGCACCGUCCUCGCCGUGUCGCACCGCAGCCACCAGAUCGUGGACGAGCAUCUUGGGGUCCGGGCUGAGCAUCAUGUGCAGAAGCCUUUGAGGAAGAACGUCGACAUAACCAUAAAAGGUAGCAACAAAGAGAUUCUUUUUGAUGUCAAGUAUGAAAAGCUGCCAAACUUUUGUUUUUUCUGCAGCUUGGUGGGGCACACGACGGAAAAACUCUGUAGCUUACCCAGCGCCGGUCCUCGAGUUUCGGUGCCCCGGGGGCGAACUCAAAUGAAUGGGCCCAGUGGCGACAUUGGAGGAAAAAAAUGA
Molecule: ribosomal RNA, 369 nt
Filed under: Triticum aestivum (bread wheat)
Lineage: Eukaryota; Viridiplantae; Streptophyta; Magnoliopsida; Poales; Poaceae
Description: partial small subunit ribosomal RNA
Source: RNAcentral